UACGUAGGUGGCAAGCGUUGUCCGGAAUUAUUGGGCGUAAAGCGCGCGCAGGCGGCCUCUUAAGUCUGAUGUGAAAGCCCCCCGGCUCAACCGGGGGAGGGCCAUUGGAAACUGGGGAGGCUUGAGUAUAGGAGAGAAGAGUGGAAUUCCACGUGUAGCGGUGAAAUGCGUAGAGAUGUGGAGGAACACCAGUGGCGAAGGCGACUCUUUGGCCUAUAACUGACGCUGAGGCGCGAAAGCGUGGGGAGCAAACAGGAUUAGAUACCC
Molecule: ribosomal RNA, 267 nt
Filed under: uncultured bacterium
Lineage: Bacteria
Description: partial 16S ribosomal RNA
Rfam family: Bacterial small subunit ribosomal RNA
Source: RNAcentral